CGUGUAGGCGGUUAGGCAAGUCAGAUGUGAAAGCCCGGGGCUUAACCCCGGAAGUGCGUUUGAAACUAUUGGGCUUGAGUAUGGGAGAGGGAAGUGGAAUUCCUGGUGUAGAGGUGAAAUUCGUAGAUAUCAGGAGGAACACCGGUGGCGAAGGCGACUUCCUGGACCAAUACUGACGCUGAGGCGCGAAGGCGUGGGGAGCAAACAGGAUUAGAUACCCUGGUAGUCC
RNAcentral lists this ribosomal RNA (229 nucleotides) under uncultured bacterium. Its description in RNAcentral is "partial 16S ribosomal RNA". It matches the Rfam family "Bacterial small subunit ribosomal RNA", at positions 568 to 796 of the family's 1533-position model. The record is from RNAcentral.